GACGAACGCUGGCGGCGUGCCUAAUACAUGCAAGUAGAACGCUGAAGGAGGAGCUUGCUUCUCUGGAUGAGUUGCGAACGGGUGAGUAACGCGUAGGUAACCUGCCUGGUAGCGGGGGAUAACUAUUGGAAACGAUAGCUAAUACCGCAUAAGAGUAGAUGUUGCAUGACAUUUGCUUAAAAGGUGCAAUUGCUUCACUACUAGAUGGACCUGCGUUGUAUUAGCUAGUGGGUGGGGUAACGGAUCACCAAGGCGACGAUACAUAGCCGACCUGAGAGGGUGAGUGGCCAAACUGGGACGGAGACACGGCCCAGACUCCUACGGGAGGCAGCAGUAGGGAAUCUUCGGCAAUGGACGGAAGUCUGACCGAGCAACGCCGCGGGAGUGAAGAAGGUUGUCGGAUCGUAAAGCUCUGUUGUAAGAGAAGAACGAGUGUGAGAGUGGAAAGUUCACACUGUGACGGUAUCUUACCAGAAAGGGACGGCUAACUACGUG
Molecule: ribosomal RNA, 495 nt
Filed under: uncultured bacterium
Lineage: Bacteria
Description: partial 16S ribosomal RNA
Rfam family: Bacterial small subunit ribosomal RNA
Source: RNAcentral